This 1372-nucleotide ribosomal RNA is filed under the name uncultured bacterium. Its description in RNAcentral is "bacterial SSU rRNA". It matches the Rfam family "Bacterial small subunit ribosomal RNA", at positions 28 to 1381 of the family's 1533-position model. The record is from RNAcentral.
GAUGAACGCUGGCGGCGUGCCUAAUACAUGCAAGUCGAGCGAACGGACGAGAAGCUUGCUUCUCUGAUGUUAGCGGCGGACGGGUGAGUAACACGUGGAUAACCUACCUAUAAGACUGGGAUAACUUCGGGAAACCGGAGCUAAUACCGGAUAAUAUUUUGAACCGCAUGGUUCAAAAGUGAAAGACGGUCUUGCUGUCACUUAUAGAUGGAUCCGCGCUGCAUUAGCUAGUUGGUAAGGUAACGGCUUACCAAGGCAACGAUGCAUAGCCGACCUGAGAGGGUGAUCGGCCACACUGGAACUGAGACACGGUCCAGACUCCUACGGGAGGCAGCAGUAGGGAAUCUUCCGCAAUGGGCGAAAGCCUGACGGAGCAACGCCGCGUGAGUGAUGAAGGUCUUCGGAUCGUAAAACUCUGUUAUUAGGGAAGAACAUAUGUGUAAGUAACUGUGCACAUCUUGACGGUACCUAAUCAGAAAGCCACGGCUAACUACGUGCCAGCAGCCGCGGUAAUACGUAGGUGGCAAGCGUUAUCCGGAAUUAUUGGGCGUAAAGCGCGCGUAGGCGGUUUUUUAAGUCUGAUGUGAAAGCCCACGGCUCAACCGUGGAGGGUCAUUGGAAACUGGAAAACUUGAGUGCAGAAGAGGAAAGUGGAAUUCCAUGUGUAGCGGUGAAAUGCGCAGAGAUAUGGAGGAACACCAGUGGCGAAGGCGACUUUCUGGUCUGUAACUGACGCUGAUGUGCGAAAGCGUGGGGAUCAAACAGGAUUAGAUACCCUGGUAGUCCACGCCGUAAACGAUGAGUGCUAAGUGUUAGGGGGUUUCCGCCCCUUAGUGCUGCAGCUAACGCAUUAAGCACUCCGCCUGGGGAGUACGACCGCAAGGUUGAAACUCAAAGGAAUUGACGGGGACCCGCACAAGCGGUGGAGCAUGUGGUUUAAUUCGAAGCAACGCGAAGAACCUUACCAAAUCUUGACAUCCUUUGACAACUCUAGAGAUAGAGCCUUCCCCUUCGGGGGACAAAGUGACAGGUGGCGCAUGGUUGUCGUCAGCUCGUGUCGUGAGAUGUUGGGUUAAGUCCCGCAACGAGCGCAACCCUUAAGCUUAGUUGCCAUCAUUAAGUUGGGCACUCUAAGUUGACUGCCGGUGACAAACCGGAGGAAGGUGGGGAUGACGUCAAAUCAUCAUGCCCCUUAUGAUUUGGGCUACACACGUGCUACAAUGGACAAUACAAAGGGCAGCGAAACCGCGAGGUCAAGCAAAUCCCAUAAAGUUGUUCUCAGUUCGGAUUGUAGUCUGCAACUCGACUACAUGAAGCUGGAAUCGCUAGUAAUCGUAGAUCAGCAUGCUACGGUGAAUACGUUCCCGGGUCU